CUUGACAUAGGAAGCUCAAAUGUUGAAUAAUGUGUUGAACUCUUGAAACAAGAACUUAACUUUCCUAAAGAACAAUUGUUCAAAACCAGAGUCUUGUGAGGCACAUUUUCCCUAUUCCUAGACAAGAACACAACUACCCCCAUUCAGCAAUUAACAGAACUUUAUAAGUUAGAACUGAAAUCACACUCUACAAUCACAGAAAGCCUUGCAAGGUCUAACCACACUGGAUAGGUAUAGUGAAACUAUACCAACAACAAGCAAACACAAAUCACAAACAGUAUGAGAAAGUUUAAAGCCGAAAACUGUGGCGUACUUAAACCAAAUGAAAAUGAACAAUUUAUGAUGAAAAGAGAAAAGAGUACAAAACAAUAAAGAUAAAACAGAAAAGAAAAUACACGGCCUGGGACAAACUAGGAAUAAAA
This 422-nucleotide unclassified non-coding RNA is filed under the name Hevea brasiliensis (rubber tree). Lineage: Eukaryota; Viridiplantae; Streptophyta; Magnoliopsida; Malpighiales; Euphorbiaceae. The record is from RNAcentral.